Aquila chrysaetos chrysaetos is the source of this 869-nucleotide non-coding RNA. The record is from the annotation of a RefSeq genome assembly. NCBI's taxonomy places the organism in Eukaryota, Metazoa, Chordata, Aves, Accipitriformes, Accipitridae.
GGGAGGGCGGGGGAGAGGGCGAGGGAGGCUUUCGGGCAGCGGGUCGGGGCGCAAGUGUCGGGAGCAGGCGCGGCUCAGCCCCGGGCCGGCUGGGGCUGUGCCGGGGCGGCGGGUGAACGUCCUCGGGCCGUGGGCGCGCCCUGCCCGGCUGCCUGCGCUCUCCGUCCGCAGGGCUGUGGGCGCAGCUGAGGCUGCUGGAGGACGGCGGAGGGCUGCGAGCGCCCGGGGAGACCGUGCGCCUCUCCUGCCGCGGAUCCGGCUUCAGCUUCCGGGACUAUGGCAUUCUGUGGUACCGUCAGGCAGCCGGCGGCGGUCUCGAGUGCAUUUCAGGGUGAUGAGAUCCAAGCGAUGAGGUCUACAGUGUGGUGGCAAGCAGGGAAUACUGGGACCUUACGAUGCACUUACAGCUCCAAUGCCUCCUAUAUUUACGUGGCCUGGUAUCAGCAGCGUCCCGGUGGACCGCUGCAGUACUUGCUGCAGAGCAAGGGCCGGGGAGGCUCCUACAGCCACACAUCCCCUUUUGCCCGCAAGAGGUUUUCCUGCCAGGCUGACGAGAGCUCCGGGAUGCUGAUCAUCACCGGGCUGGAGCUGGGGGACAGUGCGCUCUAUUACGGCACCCUGCAGGGACCAGAGUGAGAGACACUUGGGGCGUGCCUGAGCAACAUCAGCUUCCACCCCUCCUGCUGUCCCCUCCUGCACCUUCGCGGGAGUCACAGCCCAUCUCAGUGGUGAGUCAGUGAGUGGACUGUGCCUGUAUUCAGAGAGAGAGGGGUGUCAUCGUGGCUGGGUGCUGUCAGUGGUCCAGAGAAUAGAAUAGAAUAGAAUAGAAUAGAAUAGAAUAGAAUAGACUAUUUCAGUAGGAAGGGACC